GGUUGUGAGGACGAUCUGCUUGCGGCAUCUGUCACCCCAUUGAUUGUCAGGGUUGUUCCGGCUGAUCUGGCUGGCUCGGCGGGUGUCCCCUUCCUCCGUCACGCCACCUCUCCAUGUGCGUCCCUCCUGAAGCUGAGCCCUAGGUGGAAGAGGACGACCUCCCCCUGAUAGAGGAGUAUUUCCCCCAUCAAGAGUAUAUGAGUAGCUGAGCUCCCCUCCUAGAACCUCCGAACAAGCUAGGGUCCCAUAGUUAAAUUUACAGGAAUACAGUUUAGGAUGAUGGUUUUCAGGGGCUAAGUGGAGGAGGAAAUGGCCAGUUAUUGUGAAAUGGUACGAAGCUUUAUAUAUAAAUAAAUUCUAUAG
Molecule: unclassified non-coding RNA, 363 nt
Organism: Fukomys damarensis (Damara mole-rat)
Lineage: Eukaryota; Metazoa; Chordata; Mammalia; Rodentia; Bathyergidae
Gene: 7SK
Rfam family: 7SK RNA
About the family: 7SK was discovered as an abundant small nuclear RNA in the mid-70s but a possible function has only recently been suggested. Two independent studies have found that 7SK RNA binds the CDK9/cyclin T complex (known as elongation factor P-TEFb).
Source: Ensembl